GACGGGCAUGGCAGUAAUGGCGCUGAUGAAUGCCAGAAUAAACAGACGGUGGGCGACAAGACAAAGACGAAGAUGAAUGUGUCUGAAAGAACGUUCCCGAGCAGUGGCCUCACCUCCACACUGCAGCAGAGUGAAAGGUGAGUUCAGGUUUGAGAUGUUGUGGAAAGCUGCCCUCAAACACAGGAUGCAGGCAGGGUUGAAGAACUGUCCGGGCCUUGGAUUGCUGAUUGUCUCAUCUGUCUUGGCUAAGUCAGCAGGAUGUGACAGCCGCCCUCUCUCUGUUACCCGCUGACCACUGGGCUUGGCAUCCUCUCCGCUCACCUGCCCUAUCACCGCCUCCACCGUAUCUCUAUCCUCGCCUCACUCUCACCUCAAAGUCUUUGCAGCAAGAAUGAGGAUCAACGCCUUGGUGUCAAAGAGGAGAGAUCUCCUUUCUACUCACUGCUCACCACAGUCCUGAUCCCAGUCUUGAAGCGGCGACAAAAGCCGGCUCGUCAGGGAUAACAGAUGAGCGCAGAUGAACAGUGUCAGGUAAAGUGCUGUGAAAGACAUUUAAUGUGUUUUAUAUCAGUGUGUCUGAAUUGUCCAGGAACACUUGAAUCACUCAGUGUCAACCAAAUACGGCGUAAUGAGACUCGCCUCCUCUCAUCUGAAGACACAUGUCUCUCUGCUGUCACUCAGGCUAACGGAAGAAAAAAGGGCUUUUCGAGCCUUUUGAAGCACACGGGCUAUAUGAUAGCACUCCACUUUGCAUCAGGAAUUGCUCAUGCGGGAUUAUUUCAUUACGAGUCUCCCAGAGAGAGGACAGAGGUCACACUCUGGAGCUCAUUCGAACAUCUGGAGUCCAGGAACAUAAAUUAUUAAAUGAGGCAGCAAUCUGGAUUGAGACACCUAACUGUUUUUCAUGGUGCACUUGAAGGUAUUCGAUUUCCGAAGGCUGAAAAACAUUAAAUGUCUCGACAUUUUUUUCACUUUUUAUGUCUACUAAGCUUGAGCUGUUGUGAGCAGUAGAUUAGUCUUGGCCAUGAAACGCUCCCUUAAGUCCCCCUGCCUGUGGUUUUGCUGUUCUUCUUCCAAUGCUAUAACACAGCCCGGCCUGACAGCGGAAGGUCUGCUAAGGAUUUUUUUCCAAUGGGAUGUUUCUUGGUGUCUAUUUGGAAAACUCAAAGUUUCCUCCAUUGUUGCCAACAGAAACCAUUGCUACAGGCAAGGUCCAGCGGUGUCACUGACUAUAAAGGAGGAGCUGGAUGGGUGACAUUUAGUUGUUCUUACCAAGGCUGCGAUGGGGGUAAGGAGGUUGAGGGUGGGAGGAGUGUAGCCGAGGAUCCUAGCCUCCUUUCGGUUGUCACAACUGGAAAAGAAUCGACUUUGAGCGGAGAGAGAGAUCUCUAAUUAUCCCCACCUGUGCCCGGCUACAAUGGGAGGGUCGAGAUGAAGCCAUUAGCUGUCUCUCCACUGGCACCACCAAGAGUUUGUAUACAUCUGUGUCUUAUUUUCUUUUCUGGCACAAUCAGUCCAGCAAGCUAAGCAGGCAUGACCGGAUUUGGCAAGUUCCAAGGACUUUGGCAAAGUUAGACAAGGAGGAAGCGGUGAGAUGUAGAGAGGGGGAUGAGCUGGCAUGGACUCUGUGUUUGCUUUCUCCCCCGCCUGUUAACUUGAGCUGGGUGUGUUGCUUGGAGAGGCUGCUGUGUUGGUCAAAACAAUCCACGGGUUCGCUGAAGGAGACGGACGCAGAGAAAGUUGCAGAGAGCGGGGUGAAAACGUGAUUAAAUGAGGUCAACAUUACACGUGUGACUGUGGAGCUGUUUGUAUAAUUCUGGUAACAGGCAGCACAGUCUUUCCACUUUCCAGUUUAUCUCUGUUGUACUGGUGCUGUUCAAGAUUAUUGGGAUACUUAAGCUCAUCUCCCAUUUGACUCAUAGUGCUUGAUAGAAAAAGGCUCAUUGUAUUUUCAGUAUUGUCAGUUUUGAUUAGCUGAGUCAAGCCUUUGUCUGGCCAUGCAAGUGUGCAUGUUGUCAAAGCUAUUUACGAGCAAUGACCAGAUAUGAAGCCCAGACUAUUGCGGCCAUGUAAACAGCCACAUCUGUUUGAACCCACCUGCUCCCCAGUGUUUACUGGCCCUGUAAAUAAUGAAAUAAGUCCAGCAUAUUACUAUUACUGCAUAAGAAAUAUUGCAGCAGCAUGGACUUUGCAUUAAAUGACACUAUAAUUAAUCAACAUUAUGAAACAAAACAUUGCAUAAAGUAAUCCAAAAAGUGUAUGCAGCCCGCACUAUAUGGCCACGUCUACAGACCUAUUUUUUUUCACAGGUGCAGCUUUGCACAUUCAUUCAUUCAGCCUCUCAUUCAUUCAUUUCCGUCUUUAUUUAUUUAUAUAUCUCCUUGAGUGUUUGUUUUCAUUUUAGUCCCUUGAACCUUGCCACCCUGUGUGUGACACCCGGGCUAUGAGGGAAGACGGAGAGGCGGGCUGGUUCAGAAUGAUCACUAUCAUUAACAUUCACGGGGGGUUCACUUAUCAUCCCUGACUGGAGGGACAUGGCAGCCAUUAUGAGACGUCCGCAGGUGGAGCGCCAUGAUACAUAUUGCAUCUUGCCACAAUGGAUUUAUGUAUUCAGUAACAAAAGAAAAGUCUAAUGAAAAAAUACAGAAGGCAAUCCUUUAUUCCUCGCUCGACUUCAAGUGAGGCCACCAUGUCCUGCGAUGAGGAGGAGCGCGGGGGAAUUCCAGGGCUGUAUGCUGACCUGUCACUCAGGCUGCGUGCGAGGGGCACACACUCUAUACCUCACAUUAGCCCCAUUGUUUAUUGGCAACACACUGGUGCUCUUAACCCUCAGAACAAGGACAUGGAUAGACUACAGUGUUAUAUUUUUCUUAUUUUUAUUCUUUUAACAUAUUUCAUUGUUGUCUGCGUGUCCAAAGCCUGAUAUAUCUUAUUCCUCUGUGCCACAGAGUUUAUUCUUGUUGUCCACAAACUAUUUAAAAAACAUAAUCGAGCCGCAUCUUUGCACUAGGUGAAAUUGUUCCUUUAUUACCAUGAACACAAACAUUGUAGUUUAUUUUGAGGCAAUCCCGCAGAAAUGCCAUAAAUACCCGCUAGUGCGUAUUAAUCCACAGCUGAAAAUAGUCCCUGACAAAUGCACUAUUUAUCCUGUUUGAAUAAUGUUUGCUAAAAACUACAGUACCCAGCUGUUUUAGGAAUUUACUGAGCCUUUUUAAAAAAUGAAAGCAUAUUAUUUGUGACCCAUUUUUAUGAAGAUUUGCAUCUUUAGUGGGAAACAGUGGGGUGUGGGCUUAGUGGUUUUGGCGUUAGUUUUGGUCUUUUAAUGGGAUUUAUUAAAAAAUAUAAUAUAAUGCUAGCCUUAAACUUUAAGAAAAGAGUUUAUUCAUAACAUGUCCUUAAAUAAAUGUAAUUUUUUUGGUCACCAAUAAAACUUUGCAUGCCAAUAUACCCUUUUUAAAGUUUCGGAAAGAUUGUGGUUAUGGCAAAUUAACUAUUAACCUCCUAUAGGGAUACUGGGCUGGGGAAAAGCCAUCACAGCACUAUGAACAUUGUUUCAUUGACAGGUGAGCUUUGGAAACUGAGGAAACUGGAAACCUUUACUUUAAUAUUGGAGAAUAAUCACUUAUACACAGCAUAAGGAAGCGCAUACUUUGAUUCCAAACUAAAAUAAACGACAAUAAACAUGAGCUAUUCCCUGACAGAUCUCCUUAUGUGAUUAAAGACACAAUUUCUAUUCUGAAAUUUCCUUGAGUAGAAGGGCUCCCAGACCAGUAAUAACCUAAUUGGAGAGAAGCCUCUAACUAGUGUUGCUCCUCUGUGUCCCUGUGUAUAAAUAGAGUCUAUAAUGGACUGAGGUGUGAUGCCAUCAUUCAUCUCUGCUCAGAAACACUCCAGGUUCAGGUCUAUGCUCAUUUUCCUAAUGAUGCUCUUGUUUUAGGUAUGUUUUCACUUUAAGGUUUCUAAGAUUCCAGCUUAAUGGAUACUAUUCAUCACAGGCUUCUGUACCCAAGUCCAGUUUACCCAGCAAACUUAUUUGACAUAACAAAUUGCCAAAAUGAAAGGCUUUUCAGCCAGGGAAUUGGUAUAUUUUUCAAACCAAUAAGUAAAUGUGUGGGGGAAAAGAGCACAUCCCAGUCUCGGAGGUCAGUCUCCAUUUCCUGUUUACUGUGAGUGUUUUCUCUCCUGUGGUUCCAUGAUGAUUGCAUCACUGACAAAUGAAUCUAUUGUUUGCUAAUUUACUUAACAUGCCUAUGUAAAGUGCUUUUUAAUUUUAAAUGUUAAUUGACUAAAAGAGGCUUUCAGUGCCAAAUUCCACUGGCACCGAAUAAUGGGAGGUCUCCUAAAAAAAUUAUGUCUUCUGGGAGGCAUAUCCCAUAUGAUAGCCCCCGGUUAUGCCAUGUCUUUAUGUGGUAGAUUACUCCCUGGCCCUAGCCCAAAAAAGCCUGCUUUUUAACCACUGCUUCUCCCAUUUGCCUCAGGAUGCUCAUGGGCUGGCAGGUUGCACAACACAUUACCAUCCUGCAGCAGCUCUUAAAACACAUUUUAGCCCUGAAACACAGCUGGCAUCUUGGCCAGCACUGCUGCGUUGGGCACGGAAGAACCAAACGUGGAUGUUAGAGAGAAAUUAAAAUGGAACCCAGUUGGAAUAAUGAGAGUGGAUCUAUGUUGCGGUGUAGGUGCACUUUUCAUUUCCAACACAUCUCCUGUUUGAACCAACAACUCUUUGCAAGG
Dicentrarchus labrax (European seabass) is the source of this 4731-nucleotide long non-coding RNA. RefSeq lists it as uncharacterized. The transcript is spliced from 3 exons. NCBI's taxonomy places the organism in Eukaryota, Metazoa, Chordata, Actinopteri, Moronidae. The record is from RefSeq and is a predicted model, not a curated record.